UGAGUUUGAUCCUGCUUCAGAAGGAACGCUAGCUAUAUGCUUARCACAUGYAAGUCGAAYGUGAUUUUCGGGGAGCUGGGCAGAAGGAAAAGAGGCUCAACRCUAAAGUAGUCUCGCCCUGGUUCAAAACGUAAGGGCACGCACGUARGCGAAGAUUUUCAGCCUCMGUUUGCUGGAUCAGAAUAGUUGAGAACAAAGUGGCGAACGGGUGCGUAAUGUGUGGGAAUCUGCAGAACAGUUCUGGCCAAAUCCUGAAUCAAGCUCCAAAGCGCUGUUUGAUGAGCCUSCGUAGUAUUAGGUAGUUGGUCAGGUAAAAGUUGACCAAGCCAAUGAUGCUUAGCUGGUCUUUUUCGAUGAUCAGCCACACUGGGACUGAGACACGGCCAGAACUCGCACGAGGGGCAGUAGUGGGGAAUCUUGGAUAAUGGGCGAAAGCCCAAUCCAGUAAUAUCGCGUGAGUGAAGAAGGGAAAUUCCGCUUGUAAAGCUCUUUUGUCAAGUGCGCGAUUAUGACUGGGUGUAAAGGGGCACGUAGGCGGUGAAUCAGGUUGAAAGUGAAAGUCACAAAAAACUGGUGGAAUGCUCUCAAAACCAAUUCAUUUGAGUGAGACAGAGGAGAGUGGAAUUUCGUGUGUAGGGGUGAAAUCCGUAGAUCUACGAAGGAAGGCCAAAAGAAAAGACAGCUCUCUAGGUCCCUACCGACGCUGGGGUGCAAAAGCAUGUCGAGCGAACAGGAUUAGAUACCCUGGUAGUCGAUGACGUAAAUGAUGAGUGUUCGCCCUUGGUCUACGUGGAUCAAGGUCCCAGCUAACGCGUGAAACACUGCGCCUGGGGAGUACGGUCGCAAGACCGAAACUCAAAGGAAUUGACAAGGGCCUGCACAAGCGGUGGAGCAUGUGGUUUAAUUCGAUACAACGCGCAAAACCUUACCAGCCCUUGACAUAUGAACAACAAAACCUGUCCUUAACAGGAUGGUACUGACUUUCAUACACGUGCUGCAUGGCUGUUGUUAGCUCGUAUCGUGAGAUGUUUGGUCAAGUCCUAUAAUGAGUGAAACCCUCGUUUUGUGUUGCUGAGAUACGCGCCUAAGGAGAAAUAGCAACCAGAGUGAGCCGAGUGAUGUGCCAGCGCUACUACUUGAGUGCCAGCACGUAGCUGUGCUUUCAGCAAGAAGUUCACGGGAGCCGGCGCUUUCGAAGCACUUUCACGUGUGAACCGAAGUCAUCUUGCGUCACUCAUUCCCCUAUCUAUAGUAAUGUCAAAGUACCAGUGACCAUGAUGGUUUGGUUAGGCUUGGUUAUGAUGACGUCGAGUUGGCGGCGGAGGAAGACUCGGCAUUCAGGUGAGCCGCCCGGUGGUGUGGUACAUAGUGGUAAUAGUACAUGCCCUGCUCCGAAACAAAGAAAAAGGUGUGUACCGCACUCACGAGAGACUGCCAGUGAGAUACUGGAGGAAGUUGGGGAUGAUGUCAAAUCUGCAUGGCCUUUAUAGGCUGGGCCACACACGUGCUACAAUGGCAAUGGCAAUAGGAAGCAAGGCUGUAAGGCGGAGCGAAUCUGGAAAGAUUGCCUCAGUUCGGAUAGUUCUCUGCAACUCGGGAACAUGAAGUUGUAAUCGCUAGUAAUCACGGAUCAGCAUGCCGCGGUGAAUAUGUACCCGGGCCCUGUACACACCGCCCGUCACACCCUGGCAAUUGGUUUCACCCGAAGCAUCAGACUAAUGAUCAUCCAUGACUUCUGUGUACCACUAGUGCCACAAAGGCUUUUGGUGGUCUUAUUGGCUCAUACCACGGUGGUGUCUUCGACUGGGGUGAAGUCGUAACAAGGUAGCCAUAGGGGAACCUGUGGCUU
RNAcentral lists this non-coding RNA (1849 nucleotides) under Dioscorea cayenensis subsp. rotundata (Guinea yam). The record is from RNAcentral. Lineage: Eukaryota; Viridiplantae; Streptophyta; Magnoliopsida; Dioscoreales; Dioscoreaceae.